RNAcentral lists this ribosomal RNA (325 nucleotides) under uncultured eukaryote. RNAcentral describes it as "partial 18S ribosomal RNA". It matches the Rfam family "Eukaryotic small subunit ribosomal RNA", at positions 1470 to 1796 of the family's 1831-position model. The record is from RNAcentral.
CCCUUAGAUGUUCUGGGCCGCACGCGCGCUACACUGAUGCAUUCAACGAGUCUAAAACCUGGUCUGAUAGGGCUGGGUAAUCUUUUGAAUGUGCAUCGUGAUUGGGAUAGAUGAUUGCAAUUCUUCAUCUUCAACGAGGAAUGCCUAGUAAACGCAAGUCAUCAGCUUGCAUUGAUUACGUCCCUGCCCUUUGUACACACCGCCCGUCGCUCCUACCGAUUGAAUGGUCCGGUGAAAUCUCCGGACUGGCGUGAGUCGGAGCAAUCUGACAAACACCGGAAAGUUGAUUAAACCUUACCAUUUAGAGGAAGGUGAAGUCGUAACA